Erpetoichthys calabaricus (reedfish) is the source of this 713-nucleotide long non-coding RNA. RefSeq lists it as uncharacterized. Lineage: Eukaryota; Metazoa; Chordata; Cladistia; Polypteriformes; Polypteridae. The record is from RefSeq and is a predicted model, not a curated record. The transcript has 3 exons.
UGUAUGUAUAGCACCUCACUGGGCUCUUAUUUUUCUUUCUUUUGCUGUGCGUUCAGACUAGUGUAUGUGUAUCUAUCUAUCGUAACAAAAGACAAAGAAGUUGGGCAAAGGUUUGCGGCACCGUGGUGAACCCCAUGUAACUGGAAGUAAGCAACAUUUAAAAAAAAAACAAACACAAGUAUGUCUUUUCAGAUUGGACCCAACAAGUUAACUGGCUCAAAAUUGUGCUUAAGCAGGCCUUAUACAGCCCAGGCAGGAAGGGGCAGGUCCAGGAGGGAGGGUGGGAUGAAAGAAGUGACGUCAGAAAUGAUAGGCUUGUCAGUCUUCCAUCUUGCAGAGGGAAGAUGAGAGAAGGCAUUGCAGAACAGCGCCAACCCCUGUUUUGGCAGAUGAUGAGCCAAGCCUCACCUCCCCAGGAUCCCAAGACGUGAUAGAAUGUGACCUGCAGGACGUCCGUGUGAUCACCUGGUAUCGGCAGUACCUUGGAUUAAUUCUCUUCACGUCAGAAUGACUCAUUCCUGUGCAACUGAAAAUCCAGUUUUAAUCUACUGCAACAUGUUAUUGUGUGAAGAAAGAAAAUCAAAAGAAGAAGAAAAGGUUGUCACCCUUGGAGAAAGAAGUGACGCGAUCUGCACUCACUGUCCCCGACUCUGUGAAGGUAUUUCAAGCCAGGAGGCUCACCGGCAGCCAUGUACUUAGUCCAACAGAUGUAA